This 253-nucleotide ribosomal RNA is filed under the name uncultured prokaryote. RNAcentral describes it as "partial 16S ribosomal RNA". It matches the Rfam family "Bacterial small subunit ribosomal RNA", at positions 547 to 777 of the family's 1533-position model. The record is from RNAcentral.
CCUUCUUUUUCUCUCUUUCCUCGGAAUUACUGGGCGUAAAGCGUGCGCAGGCGGUUCGUUAAGUUCGAUGUGAAAGCCCCGGGCUCAACCUGGGAACUGCAUUUGUGACUGCAUCGCUGGAGUGCGGCAGAGGGGGAUGGAAUUCCGCGUGUAGCAGUGAAAUGCGUAGAUAUGCGGAGGAACACCGAUGGCGAAGGCAAUCCCCUGGGCCUGCACUGACGCUCAUGCACGAAAGCGUGGGGAGCAAACAGGA